AGUAGGGAAUCUUCCGCAAUGGGCGAAAGCCUGACGGAGCGACGCCAUGUGAACGAUGAAGGCCUUCGGGUCGUAAAGUUCUGUCAGGGGGGACGAUGGUUAAUCUUCGGAUUGAUUGACGGUACCCUCAGAGGAAGCUCCGGCCAACUACGUGCCAGCAGCCGCGGUAAUACGUAGGGAGCAAGCGUUAUUCGGAUUUACUGGGCGUAAAGAGUGCGUAGGCGGUCAGGUAAGUCAGAGGUGAAAUCUCUGCUCUUAAGGCAGAAACUGCCUUUGAUACUGCUUGACUCGAGGACAGGAGAGGGAAGUGGAACUCUGGAAGUAGCGGUGAAAUGCGUAGAUAUUCAGGGGAACGCCGGUGGCGAAAGCGGCUUCCUAGUCUGUCCCUGACGCUGAGGCACGAAAGCUAGGGUAGCGAUCGGGAUUAGAGACCCCGGUAGUCCUAGCCGUAAACGAUGGGUACUAAGUGUGGGGGGAGCAUUCUCUCCGUGCUGAAGCUAACGUGUUAAGUACCCCGCCUGGGGAGUACGGUCGCAAGACUGAAACUCAAAAGAAUUGACGGGGGGCUGAACAAGCAGUGGAGCACGUGGUUUAAUUCGACGCAAAACGAAGAACCUUACCAGGACUUGACAUGCCAGUAGUAGCGACCUGAAAGGGAAGCGAUCCUUAUCUUCGGAUAGGGAAGCUAGCACAGGUGGUGCAUGGCUGUCGUCAGCUCGUGCCGUGAGAUGUUGGGUUAAGUCCCACAACGAGCGCAACCCUUGUGCCUAGUUGCUAACUUGUUUUACAAGUGCACUCUAGGCAGACUGCCGCAGAUAAUGCGGAGGAAGGUGGGGAUGACGUCAAAUCAUCAUGCCCCUUACGUCCCGGGCUACACACGUGCUACAAUGGUCUGUACAGAGGGUAGCGAAAGAGCGAUCUUAAGCCAAUCCCAAAAAGCAGGCCCCAGUUCGGAUUGGAGGCUGCAACUCGCCUCCAUGAAGUAGGAAUCGCUAGUAAUCGCGGAUCAGCAUGCCGCGGUGAAUACGUUCCCGGGCCUUGUACACACCGCCCGUCACACCACGAAAGUUGGCGAUACCUGAAGUUACUAGGCUAACCCGGCACUCAACUAAGCACAUUAAGCCUUAUUUUAAGCAAAUAAGUUAGUGUAUUUAGUUGAGUGCCAGGAGGCAGGUACCGAAGGUAUGGCUGGCGAUUGGGGUG
RNAcentral lists this ribosomal RNA (1203 nucleotides) under uncultured bacterium. RNAcentral describes it as "partial 16S rRNA". It matches the Rfam family "Bacterial small subunit ribosomal RNA", at positions 353 to 1482 of the family's 1533-position model. The record is from RNAcentral.